UGUCUUUACCUGAACUGGUCGGUGUACUUGAGCUUAGAGUUUGCGUAGUUUAGUGGGUAGUAAUUGUAAAGGUUAACCCAAGGCUGCUUCACAGCCUUUAACCCACGUUUCUUGAUAGCAACCGUUAUAACUUGAGCUAUACUAGCCAAUGGACUACCUGAGGCUUUGAUCUUGACAUACAACUUAUCACCCGCAAAGAAGAUCAGGUCUAAAAGCUUCCAGAAGAUGAGAAACCACAUGAUCAUUAGACUUUGUUCUUGUCUUGUUGUUUGAUCACAUCUCCAUUUGUUUCAUAAGCUGUCACUUCAUCAUCACUUCCUUUGUACCUAUACCAUCUUGACAUCACCAAGAAGUAAGCAAAAUUAACCGCCAAGAUUCCAGCGAUCAUGAAGUAAAACAAAUCCAAUCUUCCUUUGUUCAAAUCUUCAGCCAACCAGUUACCGCCAGCCGAGUUCUGCGUCGUCCUGUGUACCGUUGCAAUCAAGAAGCUGCCGAGGUAACUAGAAACUCCUCCUCCCACAUAGAAGAUGGAGCCGGCGAAACUCCUCAUGUUCUCGGGGAACUGCUUGUAGUAAAACUCCAUCUGUCCAAUAGCUCCAAAUGCCUCGGCUACACCCGCGAGUGUGAGCUGCGGUAUCAGCCACAUAGCUGACAUUGAGGAGAUUUCUCCCUUCCGUGGCGCCAUACCGAGUGUUGGUUUAGUCAAUGCGAAAGUCCUCCUCCGUUCCUCGACGAAACCAGACACUACCAAGCUCAAAAAGGCGAAGAAAAUCCCGGUUCCUAUCCUUUGCAAGAGCGUGAUCCCGGUGUCUAUACCGGUGAUUCUUCUCAAGGUAGGCACGAGGACGCGGUCGUAGAUUAUGAUGAAAACAGUCAUUCCUGUCAUCAAGAAGACCACAUAGGUGGCUGCAGGGAUCACAAACCCUCCAGAGCCUAAGCGACGAUCGCUCUGGAGGGCUUGAAAGACAGGAUAGGUCAUCUGUUGCGUGAUGGUCAAGUAAUAGAUCGAUGAAGCAAACCAUAUAGGAAGCACUCUCACAAUGCACUUCACUUCUUCAACUUGUUGCAUUGUACAUAGCUUCCAUGGAUCCGUAGGCUUACCAUCAGCAUCCAACUUGUCUUCAGGAGCCAAGAUCGCCGCCUUAUCAAGAAACCUACCAAAAACAGAAAGCUUGCUUUCUAAGUAAACAAAAGUGGAAAGAUAUUAUUUAUAACCGUGUGUCUUUACCUGAACUGGUCGGUGUACUUGAGCUUAGAGUUUGCGUAGUUUAGUGGGUAGUAAUUGUAAAGGUUAACCCAAGGCUGCUUCACAGCCUUUAACCCACGUUUCUUGAUAGCAACCGUUAUAACUUGAGCUAUACUAGCCAAUGGACUACCUGAGGCUUUGAUCUUGACAUACAACUUAUCACCCGCAAAGAAGAUCACGCAGGCCAAGAACAUUAACACGACAGGUAUGGUUAAACCGAUGGUCCAACUGACGUUAGACUGGAU
RNAcentral lists this long non-coding RNA (1491 nucleotides) under Brassica napus (rape). Its description in RNAcentral is "long non-coding RNA (BNAP_LNC001865)". Lineage: Eukaryota; Viridiplantae; Streptophyta; Magnoliopsida; Brassicales; Brassicaceae. The record is from RNAcentral.